This 202-nucleotide ribosomal RNA is filed under the name Triticum aestivum (bread wheat). RNAcentral describes it as "partial small subunit ribosomal RNA". The record is from RNAcentral. Lineage: Eukaryota; Viridiplantae; Streptophyta; Magnoliopsida; Poales; Poaceae.
CUCCUGACAGCCCACCCACCCCCAUCACGACCUCUCUCUGCCUCGUUCCUCUCUGCUCUCGAUCCAGAGAACACAGCCACGACCUCGCCUGCCGGCCAUGCCCUCACCGACCACCACCUCUCCUGCCGGCUCCGGCCUCGCCGGCCAGCACAUCGACCGCCCGCCGUCCUCGGGCCUUCCCUCUUGGCCUCCAAAUCCAGCG